This is a long non-coding RNA of Brassica oleracea var. oleracea, 741 nucleotides long. RefSeq lists it as uncharacterized. The transcript is spliced from 3 exons. The record is from RefSeq and is a predicted model, not a curated record. NCBI's taxonomy places the organism in Eukaryota, Viridiplantae, Streptophyta, Magnoliopsida, Brassicales, Brassicaceae.
GGCGGCGAACCUUAUGAACAGAGCAAUCUCCUGAGGAAUUUCUCUGCGCCGGCGGCAUCUCCGUCGAGCGAAAACCCUAGCUCCGAUUCGAUUAAACCAAAACGAAGGAAGAAGAAGAACUUAAUAGAGGUCGCUCAGUUCUUACCCAAUUGGGGAAUCGGAUACCAUAUGGCUAAAGCUCAUUGGAACGGAGUCUCUUAUGAAAUCACUAAGAUCAACCUCUACAAGGAUGGUAAUUGGUAGGCAUGGCAAAGCGUGGGGGAUUGUUCACAAAGAUGGCUUGCGAGCUGGGGAAGCUCCAAAGAAGAUAAGUGGAGUUCACAAGCGCUGCUGGAAGUAUAUUCCUAACCUGUCAAAGACCACGCCUGCAACCGCCUCCGAAGCCCAAGCUGCCUGAUCUGUUUUACUUCCAUUGUUACUUGAUAUGUCCCUUUGAAUUCGUUGAUAAAUCUGCAAUCUUCGGAUGCUGAUCUGUUUCAGGUUCUUCUUAUUAAAGACUUUUGCGCUUCUUGGGAUGGAUUUUGAUGUGCCUCCAUGACUGAGUCUACCCCCUGAAUUACCAGCUGUGUAGGGCUAUGUUGUCAUUGAGAGCCGAUCAGGUUCUGGUUCAUGUCAAACUCUUUUUAGUCUUCGUAACUUUUUGUCGUGUGACUUUAUCGAAGCUGUUGUUUUGUUUAAAGUUUGGAGAUACACACGCUUGGUUAUUCAUCUAUAUUAUACAAUAAAUUGUUUUGUUAUAUA